Molecule: ribosomal RNA, 253 nt
Filed under: uncultured bacterium
Lineage: Bacteria
Description: partial 16S ribosomal RNA
Rfam family: Bacterial small subunit ribosomal RNA
Source: RNAcentral
GACGAACCACACGAACGUUAUUCGGAAUUACUGGGCUUAAAGGGUGCGUAGGCUGUGCGGAAAGUUAGGUGUGAAAUCCCCCGGCUCAACCGGGGAAUUGCGCUUAAAACUACCGUGCUAGAGGAAUACAGAGGUGAGCGGAACUUCGGGUGGAGCGGUGAAAUGCGUUGAUAUCCGAAGGAACACCGGUGGCGAAGGCGGCCACCUGGGCGGAUACUGACGCUGAGACGCGAAAGCGUGGGGAGCAAACAGG